This is a transfer RNA of Felis catus (domestic cat), 85 nucleotides long. It matches the Rfam family "tRNA". Rfam says of the family: Transfer RNA (tRNA) molecules are approximately 80 nucleotides in length. Their secondary structure includes four short double-helical elements and three loops (D, anti-codon, and T loops). The record is from Rfam. Lineage: Eukaryota; Metazoa; Chordata; Mammalia; Carnivora; Felidae.
GCCUGGGUGGCUCAGUCUGUUAAGCAUGUGACUUUGGCUCAGGUCACGAUCUCACAGUUUGUGGGUUCGAGCCCUGCUUCGGGCU